Molecule: ribosomal RNA, 253 nt
Filed under: uncultured bacterium
Lineage: Bacteria
Description: partial 16S ribosomal RNA
Rfam family: Bacterial small subunit ribosomal RNA
Source: RNAcentral
UACGGGGGGGGCAAGCGUUGCUCGGAAUUACUGGGCGUAAAGGGCUCGUAGGUGGCCAACUAAGUCAGACGUGAAAUCCCUCGGCUUAACCGGGGAACUGCAUCUGAUACUGGAUGGCUUGAGUUUGGGAGAGGGAUGCGGAAUUCCAGGUGUAGCGGUGAAAUGCGUAGAUAUCUGGAGGAACACCGGUGGCGAAGGCGGGUCUCUGGGCCGAUACUGACGCUGAGGAGCGAAAGCGUGGGGAGCGAACAGG